Molecule: ribosomal RNA, 293 nt
Filed under: uncultured bacterium
Lineage: Bacteria
Description: partial 16S ribosomal RNA
Rfam family: Archaeal small subunit ribosomal RNA
Source: RNAcentral
GUGCCAGCCGCCGCGGUAAUACCGGCAGCCCGAGUGAUGGUCGAUCUUAUUGGGCCUAAAGCGUCCGUAGCUGGCCACGCAAGUCCGUCGGGAAAUCCACCUGCCCAACAGGUGGGCGUCCGGCGGAAACUGUGUGGCUUGGAACCGGAAGGCUCAGAGGGUACGUCCGGGGUAGGAGUGAAAUCCCGUAAUCCCGGACGGACCACCGAUGGCGAAAGCACUCUGAGAAGACGGCUUCGACAGUGAGGGACGAAAGCUAAGAUCGCGAACCGGAUUAGAAACCCGAGUAGUCC